AUAUAUCCGAGAUGUUGACAAAAAACAAGUGGGCCGAUCCUGGUGAUAGUUGCAGAAAGGGUCCAAGCUCCAUGGCACGAACAUUGUACGAUAAUUAUUUUUGAUAGUUCAUUGAACAACCAAUAUAUAAGAAAUGAGUAUUCCACAUUUCAUUUAAAGUUUUUUUUUUAGUAGUACAAGAGCUAUUCUUGUUGACAUAGGACACAUGGAAGCUGCAGAGACAUUGCUUUUUCGAGGAAUCUGCGUGCGUCGCACGAUACAUAAACAUAGAAGGCACGGACGACAGGCGCGCAUCCCAUGCUCAUUAAGCACACAAACACGAAAGCAAGAUUCGGACGACACGGGUGUAACCUGCGCCACACGAGCGAGGGAAUAUCGUAGCUUUGAUGCUUUCCGACAGUUACAACGCGCACUGAAACAUCGCACACUGCACAUGUGUACCUCAGAGAUCGUUCCAACAAUUUCUGGGGCUAAAGUUGACGUUAACGACAUCAGGAAGUUAUCUAGAAGGAAGGUGGUACACAAAUCAUUCAAAUCACGCCCCAGCGAUGGCUUUCAAAGGACAACAUAACCCCAAUCUCUAAGGCCAUGCUUUUGCUGGCUGCAGACGGCAGAAGCAAUUCAAAAUUUAAAAUACAUCAUAAAAUUUCUUUCUACGAUAAACUAUAGCGUAAAAUAUGGAGUGUUCGGUGGUUUGUUUUAUCUCGCAACAUAUAUACGUAGCUGGGCGCAACACGACACAAAAUAUGAGUUUACUGGUUAAUAUAUUUGGCAUCACGGAGGCCACAACAACCUCACAAGUACGCAGGUGGCGCUGUUGUUUUUCCUGCGUCUUCAACGUGCCGGUCGUCUGUGUGAGCUGCUUGAUCGUGUGGUUUUGUGUUUGCUUUAAUGAAAUGGGACGUAGUUAGCGUGCACAAAAGUGCCAGAAGAUACCUUGUGUUUCGUUGCAAACUCGCCGUAUGCGUGGCGCGCCAGGCAAACAUGGACCAACGAUUUUUGUGCCGUGGCCUUUGUGUCGGGUUGUCGUGGAAAGUUGGGUGGACAUCGCAAAGAAAUCAUUCCUAUUGGUAGCGUGCCUCAGAUCGUCCACUACGCAGCGGCAUGUAUGCUGGGAGUAACAUCGUCGACGCAGCACCGGCAACUUGGAGAGCGUCGUGCCAUUGAAAAGUGGUGAGGCCGUGACCCACAGCAGUGUCCACAUGAUGGCAGGGAACCUGUGGCCCUGGCUACAGCAGCACAGCGUGUAAUCUGGAUGUCACGUCAGGUGAACGAUCUUAUCUGGCCUGAAGUCCUAUGGCGGCAAUGCACGACCGCAUUGGGGAGGCUGAGGUUCAGGGCAAGAGCCUUUAUGGAAAGGGCAGUAACAGGCACAAGAAGGACCCAGUGAAGGAGGGAUUGGAUCCAGUUCAUCUGAAUGCUGUAAUUGGGCUGCGCAAGUGGACCCACACACACAGUGGCUAUACACGCACCUGGUCAUUCACAAACAUAUGCACACACUAGCAGGUCGUUCGGGAAUUUUGCCAUGCGCCAUUCCUCUUCCCGUUAAGGCACUCCGCACGUCUGACCACCAGGGGACACACUCUCGCUACCUUCGUGUGCACAGCCAUAAAUAAUGGCGGCACCAUGCAUCUGACAUUGGUUGAAGUUCAGCAUCUGUUCGUUCACGUUCCACCGAAUGAUAUAGAAAGUUAGUAUUGUUCUGCUAGUGUGCUACAAUGCUAUGCUAAAUUUUCAUCUUGUUUCUUGCAGGUUACAUCCUCCAGCAAGUUCAGGACGACAAAUGUGCAGCUCAAAAGCAGCCUGUCCUCCAUGCUAAGCAGGGAGAUUAAGUAGCCUGGAAAGCAGGUGGUCCUGUAAAUACAGGGUGUUUUUUUUAGCUGCACCAAAUUUUUAAAAUUAGAAAAAUAUAUACCUUGGUCACGUUAGCUUUACCAUUCGAGUGUACGGAUUGGCGGCCUCUAGAUACAGAGCAAUUAGUCACUUAAGUGUGUAAUUAGUGAAGUUAAGCUAAUUAACUUUCUAAUUAUCAACUAUAGGUGGCUACAGCAAAUGAGUACUUUGGGGCCCGUCGUCGACACUACCUAUCCCAACGAUGAAAUUUUGAAUAGCGGAGUUCAUGUGGGAGCUACACGAGCAAUUAGUUCCCUUUGGCAAGCUUCUUGAAACCGAAUUAGGCCGCAAAAAGAGCGUCUGUGUCGUCGAUGUCACCGCCCCCCUGCCUUUCGUAACAUCUCCGAGGUAAGCGCCAGUCCGGCCCCGCGAGCAGCUUGCAUUAUUUCCUUGCUAUCUGCGGCGUUCGCAGUCGACGCUACAGACUGAUAUGAUGCCGUGCCUGCAGUAUCUAAAAGCCCAAUUUAAGGAGCAGGGUUGGCGCUACAGCGCAACAUGAUGCCCAACAGAAUGACGAAGUAAAUUUGGCGGCCCACCGUCAUUGAAGCGCUAGGCCACCGCUGCAGACAGCCAGGAAAUAAUGCAAGCUGCUCGUUGGGCUGGACCGGCGGAGACGUGACGAAAGGCGGGGGGGGGGGGGGGGGCGACGACACAGACGCUCUUUUUGCGGCCAGUUUCGGUUUCAAGGAGCCUGCCAAGGGGAACUAAUUGUUCGCGUAGCUCCCACAUGAACUCCGCUAUUCAAAAUUUGACUGUUGGGAUAGGUAGUACUCAUUUGUACUCAGUACUCAUUUGCUGUAGCUACCUAUUGUUGAUAAUUAGAAAAUUAAUUAGUGUAACUUCGGUAAUUAUGCAUGUAAGUGCUGAAAUUGCUAUGUAUCUAGAGGCUGCCAAUCCGUACACUUGAAUGGUAAAGAUAACGUGACCAAGAUUCACAUCUUUCUAAUUUCAAAAAUUUGGUGCAACUAAAAAGAACACCCCGUAUGUGCUAUCUAGUCAUGUUUGCGAUUUCUAUGUCAGCACAUUCUUAAAUAAAUAUGAACCAACUCAACUAUAUAUACAUCUGCUCAUUUAUUACCCUGUUUAAUUUAUAGCUGGCUCAACAAUGCAGCAUUUGUAUCCAAAUGCCUGCAUCGCUAGGCAUCCAAGAUUGAUGGGCAUGGGUAGACUCGCAUAUAUAGAACGAUGGAUAGCCACUCAUUGCCAGAAAUGGUCUGCUGGAGUUUACAUUACAACUCUUUGUAGUGACCAUACUUUCAUGUUGAUAAUUUGUGCCAUGCAAAUUGAGGAAUGUUAAUGUAGUGCAUAGAAAGCCAAGUGUGCAGGCAUUCAGAAGGGUUACUAAUGCACUGUGUUAGAAUAGCAAUGAACCAAAAAAAAUAUCUAUUGACCUGUGUACUGCAAACAUUCGCUUGCAUGACCAGCAAUAGAGAUAUCUGCAUUGCGGCCUUUAAUGUCAACCUAAUGUUAACGUUCAAUUGCAUGUCAUUAGGAAACGCAUCAGAAGCUCAUGCGUCAGGUGCACAUCAGAAACUCGUACGUCAGAUGCACAUCAGAAACUCAUGCGUCAGGUGCACAUCAGAAACUCAUGCGUCAGGUGCACAUCAGAAACUCAUGCAUCAGGUACUCUAUAGAAAUACGGUGGCCAAUUUGUAAUAGACUCACAUUAGGAAUACAUCAGAAAGCGCAUUAGACAGUCAUUAGCCACUCAAAUGAUUCUGUUGCAUAAAGACAUCAGCCUCUCUAUAGAAAGACAUUAAAUUUUUUCA
Long non-coding RNA from Dermacentor silvarum, 3662 nucleotides. RefSeq lists it as uncharacterized. NCBI's taxonomy places the organism in Eukaryota, Metazoa, Arthropoda, Arachnida, Ixodida, Ixodidae. The record is from RefSeq and is a predicted model, not a curated record. The transcript has 4 exons.